AUCCAGCUGACGAGUCCCAAAUAGGACAAAACGCGUGUCCUGGAU
Molecule: non-coding RNA, 45 nt
Organism: Schistosoma rodhaini
Lineage: Eukaryota; Metazoa; Platyhelminthes; Trematoda; Strigeidida; Schistosomatidae
Source: Rfam